This 254-nucleotide ribosomal RNA is filed under the name uncultured bacterium. Its description in RNAcentral is "partial 16S ribosomal RNA". It matches the Rfam family "Bacterial small subunit ribosomal RNA", at positions 524 to 776 of the family's 1533-position model. The record is from RNAcentral.
UACAGGGGGGGCAAGCGUUGUUCGGAAUUACUGGGCGUAAAGGGCUCGUAGGUGGCCAACUAAGUCAGACGUGAAAUCCCUCAGCUUAACUGGGGAACUGCGUCUGAUACUGGAUGGCUUGAGUUUGGGAGAGGGAUGCGGAAUUCCAGGUGUAGCGGUGAAAUGCGUAGAUAUCUGGAGGAAUACCGGUGGCGAAGGCGGCAUCCUGGACCGGCAUUGACGCUGAGUGAGCGAAAGCCAGGGGAGCAAACGGG